GGGCCCGCACAAGCGGUGGAGUAUGUGGUUUAAUUCGAUGCAACGCGAAGAACCUUACCAGGGUUUGACAUCCUGCGAAUCUCUUGGAAACAGGAGAGUGCCUUCGGGAACGCAGUGACAGGUGGUGCAUGGCUGUCGUCAGCUCGUGUCGUGAGAUGUUGGGUUAAGUCCCGCAACGAGCGCAACCCACGUCUUUAGUUGCCAGCAUUUAGUUGGGCACUCUAGAGAGACUGCCGGUGAUAAACCGGAGGAAGGUGUGGAUGACGUCAAGUCAUCAUGCCCCUUACAUCCUGGGCUACACACGUACUACAAUGGCAAGUACAACGAGUCGCAAUACCGCGAGGUGGAGCA
Molecule: ribosomal RNA, 351 nt
Filed under: uncultured bacterium
Lineage: Bacteria
Description: bacterial SSU rRNA
Rfam family: Bacterial small subunit ribosomal RNA
Source: RNAcentral